Molecule: non-coding RNA, 781 nt
Filed under: Orestes mouhotii
Lineage: Eukaryota; Metazoa; Arthropoda; Insecta; Phasmatodea; Heteropterygidae
Source: RNAcentral
UAGAUUUUUAAGUUGUAUUUUGAUUGAUUUGAUUCUGGUUAUUGUUGUUAAUUUUAGGUUAUAUGUACAUGUGAAUAUUUAUUAAUUGAUUUUUUUUUUUGCAGUACUUAAUAUUAUAUAUGAAAUUAUUUUUGAUUUAGGUAUUUCUUUUAUUAUUGUAUAAAAUUGUGCCAGCAUACGCGGUUAUACAAUUGAUAUUAAUUAAUAUGGUUGAUUAUUAAAGUUAAGGUUUUUUUUGGCUUAUAAUUAUUUAUUUUUAGGUGAAAUUUUAAUAUUUUUAUGUUAAGCUUAUUUUCGGUUCUUUUAAAUAUUUGUUUAAACUAGGAUUAGAUACCCUAUUAUUUUUUAUGUAAAUUUUAAAAUCAGGGUAGUAUUAGUUAUGUUCUUUAAACCCAAAGAAUUUGGCGGUAUUCUAGUCUAUUUAGAGGAACUUGUCUCAUAAUCGAUAAUCCUCGUUUUAUCUUACUUAUUUUAGCUUUAAUCAGCUUGUAUAUCGCCGUUAUAAGUUUAUUUUUUAAGAAUUUUAAUUUACUUAAUAUUUUAUUUUAUAUUAUUUCAGGUCAAGGUGCAGCUUAUGAUUAAGUGAUGGUGAGUUACAAUAUUAUUUAAUUAAACGGAUUUUUAUUUUAUAAAUUUAUUGAAGGUGGAUUUAAUAGUAAUUUUAAUUAUAAUAUUAAUUUGAUUUUAAGCUCUAGGAUGAGUACAUAUCGCCCGUCACUCUCAAUUUAUUUGAGAUAAGUCGUAACAAAGUAGGUGUACUGGAAAGUGUACCUGGAAUGAU